This 441-nucleotide ribosomal RNA is filed under the name Triticum aestivum (bread wheat). RNAcentral's name for it is "partial small subunit ribosomal RNA". Lineage: Eukaryota; Viridiplantae; Streptophyta; Magnoliopsida; Poales; Poaceae. The record is from RNAcentral.
AUGCCACCAAAAAACGGUGCGAUAUCAUUGCGCACUGAAGAUGUGUUUGACAUUUUCGAGCUACAGAACAAGGGCAAAGAUGCCAUGAAAGCACUAGGUAAAGGAGGGUUAAAGGAGAAGGUGAAGGUGCCUAGUCAUUUUCUAGAUUCCAGUACGGGUGAAAUGAUGAUAGACAAGCUGAUUGAGAACAUCGUUGCCAGUGGCACGUACAAUGAUGAUUUUCUCCGUAGAAUUGUUCUGGUUCUUCUAAGCACGGUUCUUGUACCGCAGUCCACGAAAGAAGUUCCUAAUGCUUAUUACAAGUUAGUUGAGGAUAUGGAGGCCAUCAAAGCAUUUAAUUGGAACGCGUUUACUUUACGCGUUUGCGUUGAAGGCAUCACAAAGACCAUAUCAGAUCUUACAAAAUUUACUUGGCCGGUCGGAAACCUUGCCCUCAUAUAG